AUUGAACGCUGGCGGCAUGCCUAACACAUGCAAGUCGAACGGCAGCACGGCAGUAGCAAUACUGUGGGUGGCGAGUGGCGGACGGGUGAGGAAUACGUCGGAAUCUGCCCAGUCGUGGGGGAUAACUAGCCGAAAGGUUAGCUAAUACCGCAUACGACCGAGAGGUGAAGGCGGGGGACCGCAAGGCCUCGCGCGAUUGGAUGAGCCGACGUCGGAUUAGCUAGUUGGUGGGGUAAAGGCCCACCAAGGCGACGAUCCGUAGCUGGUCUGAGAGGAUGAUCAGCCACACUGGAACUGAGACACGGUCCAGACUCCUACGGGAGGCAGCAGUGGGGAAUAUUGGACAAUGGGCGCAAGCCUGAUCCAGCAAUGCCGCGUGUGUGAAGAAGGCCUCGGUUGUAAG
This 403-nucleotide ribosomal RNA is filed under the name uncultured bacterium. RNAcentral's name for it is "bacterial SSU rRNA". It matches the Rfam family "Bacterial small subunit ribosomal RNA", at positions 29 to 429 of the family's 1533-position model. The record is from RNAcentral.